CGAGAGUAGAAGUCUAGUCACA
RNAcentral lists this microRNA (22 nucleotides) under Polistes canadensis. RNAcentral describes it as "pca-miR-11664a-5p". The record is from miRBase by way of RNAcentral. Lineage: Eukaryota; Metazoa; Arthropoda; Insecta; Hymenoptera; Vespidae.